This 504-nucleotide ribosomal RNA is filed under the name uncultured Roseomonas sp. RNAcentral describes it as "bacterial SSU rRNA". It matches the Rfam family "Bacterial small subunit ribosomal RNA", at positions 96 to 633 of the family's 1533-position model. The record is from RNAcentral. Lineage: Bacteria; Pseudomonadati; Pseudomonadota; Alphaproteobacteria; Acetobacterales; Roseomonadaceae.
UGGCGGACGGGUGAGUAACGCGUAGGAACGUGUCCAGAGGUGGGGGAUAACGUUGGGAAACUGACGCUAAUACCGCAUAUGAGCUGAGGCUCAAAGCAGCGAUGCGCCUUUGGAGUGGCCUGCGUAGGAUUAGCUUGUUGGUGGGGUAACGGCUUACCAAGGCUACGAUCCUUAGCUGGUCUGAGAGGACGAUCAGCCACAUUGGGACUGAGACACGGCCCAAACUCCUACGGGAGGCAGCAGUGGGGAAUAUUGGACAAUGGGCGCAAGCCUGAUCCAGCAAUGCCGCGUGUGUGAAGAAGGUCUUCGGAUUGUAAAGCACUUUCGACGGGGACGAUGAUGACGGUACCCGUAGAAGAAGCCCCGGCUAACUUCGUGCCAGCAGCCGCGGUAAUACGAAGGGGGCUAGCGUUGCUCGGAAUGACUGGGCGUAAAGGGUGCGUAGGCGGCAAUGCAAGUCAGUCGUGAAAUUCCCGGGCUUAACCUGGGGACUGCGUUUGAGAC